AGGAUGAACGCUAGCGGCAGGCUUAAUACAUGCAAGUCGUGGGGCAGCACAGUGUAGCAAUACAUGGGUGGCGACCGGCAAACGGGUGCGGAACACGUACGCAACCUUCCUUUAACUGGAGAAUAGCCCGGGGAAACCCGGAUUAAUACUCCGUAACAUUAUGAGAUGGCAUCAUUUUAUAAUUAUAGCUCCGGCGGUUAAAGAUGGGCGUGCGUCUGAUUAGGUAGUUGGCGGGGUAACGGCCCACCAAGCCUACGAUCAGUAACUGGUGUGAGAGCACGACCAGUCACACGGGCACUGAGACACGGGCCCGACUCCUACGGGAGGCAGCAGUAAGGAAUAUUGGUCAAUGGACGCAAGUCUGAACCAGCCAUGCCGCGUGGAGGAUGAAGGUCCUCUGGAUUGUAAACUUCUUUUAUUUGGGAAGUAACCCCGAUUUCUAUUGGGGUUGACGGUACCAGAUGAAUAAGCACCGGCUAACUCCGCGCCAGCAGCCGCGGU
RNAcentral lists this ribosomal RNA (501 nucleotides) under uncultured bacterium. RNAcentral describes it as "SSU rRNA". It matches the Rfam family "Bacterial small subunit ribosomal RNA", at positions 26 to 521 of the family's 1533-position model. The record is from RNAcentral.